Molecule: long non-coding RNA, 362 nt
Filed under: Elaeis guineensis (African oil palm)
Lineage: Eukaryota; Viridiplantae; Streptophyta; Magnoliopsida; Arecales; Arecaceae
Description: long non-coding RNA (EGUI_LNC032615)
Source: RNAcentral
CUCCCCUUCAUCUUAUCUCUCUCCCCUGGUUCUCCUCCUAGGGUUGGGAUUAGGGUUUGUCCCUCUCUCCUCCCGAUCUUUUGUCUUUGGGUACACCUCAGCUCGGUAAGAUAGAUACCGCUACUGUACCAAGCCAGUUGCCAACCAAUAUGAACUCGGUUACUGGUUGGGCAAACCCUAAAGACCACCAUGACAUUUUUUUUCAAACAAUGCUUGGAAUUCUUUCUCAAGUAACUUCAGUUUCCUAAUAGUAAGAGAUGACAAACAUAAUACUAGAACCGAGUGCUAUAAGUGCUAGUCCAUAACCCAUUAGUGUGGAAAUGUGAAUUGCUCAACUUAUUUUUAUGAACCUUCAAUUUUAG